Non-coding RNA from Mycena capillaripes, 99 nucleotides. The record is from the annotation of a GenBank genome assembly. Lineage: Eukaryota; Fungi; Basidiomycota; Agaricomycetes; Agaricales; Mycenaceae.
GCUCUGGUAGAUUAAUGUAGGUCAUCCCUUCAUCAUUACAUCGUAUACGAAUUGGUGAUUGAUACAGGGAAGACGGAGGUUCGAAUCCUCCCCAGGGUG